ACGCAUGCAAGUCGAACGGGGCCUUUUGGAGCAAUCUAGAGGUUCUAGUGGCAAACGGGUGAGUAACACGUAGGGAUCUACCUUGAAGUGGGGAAUAACGAGCCGAAAGGUUCGCUAAUACCGCAUGAGCUGGAUCGCAAGAUUCAGGAAAGGUUCCGUAAGGAAUCGCUUUAAGAGGAGCCUGCGGCCGAUCAGGUAGUUGGUGAGGUAACGGCUCACCAAGCCGACGACCGGUAGCUGAUCUGAGAGGAUGACCAGCCACACUGGCACUGAGAGACGGGCCAGACUCCUACGGGAGGCAGCAGCGAGGAAUAUUGCACAAUGGAGGAAACUCUGAUGCAGUAACGCCGCGUGAGGGAGGAAGACCUUCGGGUUGUAAACCUCUUUUGAGAGAGACGAGCGAGGACGGUAUCUCUAGAAUCAGUCUCGGCUAACUACGUGCCAGCAGCCGCGGUAAGACGUAGGAGGCGAGCGUUAUCCGGAUUCACUGGGCGUAAAGCGCAUGUAGGCGGUUGCACAAGUCCGUUGUUAAGGCCCCUGGCUCAACUGGGGGAGGUCAAUGGAGACUGUGCGACUUGAGGGCAGUAGAGGCACGUGGAACUCCCGGUGUAGCGGUGGAAUGCGUAGAGAUCGGGAAGAACACCAGUGGCGAAGGCGACGUGCUGGGCUGCAUCUGACGCUGAGAUGCGAAAGU
RNAcentral lists this ribosomal RNA (694 nucleotides) under metal-contaminated soil clone K20-78. Its description in RNAcentral is "bacterial SSU rRNA". It matches the Rfam family "Bacterial small subunit ribosomal RNA", at positions 51 to 760 of the family's 1533-position model. The record is from RNAcentral. Lineage: Bacteria; Bacillati; Chloroflexota.